RNAcentral lists this transfer RNA (72 nucleotides) under Camelus bactrianus (Bactrian camel). It matches the Rfam family "tRNA". From Rfam's summary of the family: Transfer RNA (tRNA) molecules are approximately 80 nucleotides in length. Their secondary structure includes four short double-helical elements and three loops (D, anti-codon, and T loops). Lineage: Eukaryota; Metazoa; Chordata; Mammalia; Artiodactyla; Camelidae. RNAcentral also lists the same sequence under 2 other names. The record is from Rfam by way of RNAcentral.
GAGGGUAGAGCUCAGCUGUAGAGCACCUGCUUAGCAUGCACGAGGUCCUAGAUUCAAUCCCCAGUGCCUCCA